Long non-coding RNA from Salvelinus fontinalis (brook trout), 828 nucleotides. RefSeq lists it as uncharacterized. The transcript is spliced from 4 exons. The record is from RefSeq and is a predicted model, not a curated record. Lineage: Eukaryota; Metazoa; Chordata; Actinopteri; Salmoniformes; Salmonidae.
ACUAUACCAUGCCCUACCCACAGGUAGACACUAUACCAUGCCCUACCCACAGGUAGACACUAUACCAUGCCCUACCCACAGGUAGACACUAUACUAUACCAUGCCCUACCCACAGGUAGACACUAUACUAUACCAUGCCCUACCCACAGGUAGACACUAUACUAUACCAUGCCCUACCCACAGGUAGACACUAUACCAUGCCCUACCCACAGGUAGACACUAUACUAUACCGUGCCCUACCCACAGGUAGACACUAUACUAUACCAUGCCCUACCCACAGGUAGACACUAUACCAUGCCCUACCCACAGGUAGACACUAUACUAUACCAUUCCCUACCCACAGGUAGACACUAUACUAUACCAUGCCCUACCCACAGGUAGACACUAUACUAUACCAUGCCCUACCCACAGGUAGACACUAUACCAUGCCCUACCCACAGGUAGACACUAUACUAUACCGUGCCCUACCCACAGGUAGACACUAUACUAUACCAUGCCCUACCCACAGGUAGACACUAUACCAUGCCCUACCCACAGGUAGACACUAUACUAUACCAUGCCCUACCCACAGGUAGACACUAUACCAUGCCCUACCCACAGGUAGACACUAUACUAUGCCCUACCCACAGGUAGACACUAUACCAUGCCCUACCCACAGGUAGACACUAUACCAUGCCCUACCCACAGGUAGACACUAUACUAUACCGUGCCCUACCCACAGGUAGACACUAUACUAUACCGUGCCCUACCCACAGGUAGACACUAUACUAUACCGUGCCCUACCCACAGGUACACACUAUACUAUACCAUUCCCUACCCACAGGUAGA